UUAGAGAUUUGAAAAAAGAUAAAAAUGAAUGAUACUUGAGAAAAAUUGGAAUAAAAUGAUUAUACGAUAACAAUUGAGAAACUUAAUUACAAAAUCUUUUUUAUUAUCAUAAAAUAUAUUUAAACUCAUGAUAAAAUGAAAUAAUUAAACAACAAUUAAAACAUUAAUUACGAAAUCUUAGUUGUUAUUAAUUAUAAUAACAAUCAUAAAUUAUAUUUAUCAUAUCAAUGUAUAGAUAAAUAUUUAUAUAGAUUUUUAAUGGGUGGAGUUUGAUUAGAUGUGAAAAUUAAUUAGAGAUUUGGAAAAAAAAUAAAAAUAAAUAAAAUGAUUAUAUGAUAAUUGAAAAUUCAAGAAAAUUGGUAUAGGCGCAGCGUCAUUUUAGCGUCCGAAGUGAAGUCCAAUUCAGCAGUAGUCACAUGUCUUUCUCAAUGUAAAGUAUUAACGUAUCAACAUAUUACUAAACAAUAAUUUAAUGAACAUGCAUCUGCCAUCAUUUUUAUGAUUUCAUUUAUUUAUACUCACUUUUGUUCCAAGCCGUUGAGAUGGGCAAAUUAAGAUGUGUAGCAUAGUUUGAAUUUGUGAAUUACACUUGGCCUGCAAGAUAUUAUAGGUGUCAGAAAAUAUUAAGUUACAAAUUUAUUGAAUCAAGGGAUGGAGGUUCUUACCAUGAGACGAAGAACAGAUCCGAACUUGUAGAUCAUAAUUCCCAUAAUCUUCCUGCUGCUCCUCCUGUAUGCGUUUUGCUGAUUCAAUGAGGGGACAUGCUGCAACCAUCCACCUCUAUAAGUUGAAGUGUUGGUAUA
RNAcentral lists this long non-coding RNA (803 nucleotides) under Salvia miltiorrhiza (redroot sage). Its description in RNAcentral is "long non-coding RNA (SMIL_LNC004722)". The record is from RNAcentral. Lineage: Eukaryota; Viridiplantae; Streptophyta; Magnoliopsida; Lamiales; Lamiaceae.